Molecule: ribosomal RNA, 537 nt
Filed under: Triticum aestivum (bread wheat)
Lineage: Eukaryota; Viridiplantae; Streptophyta; Magnoliopsida; Poales; Poaceae
Description: partial small subunit ribosomal RNA
Source: RNAcentral
AUGACUUGCUCCACCGGGUGCUCGUCCCGGCGCCCGCCGCCGACCGUCUUCGUCGUCGGCUUCCCCUUCGUCUUCUGCGCCGGCGGCGCCACUGCCACGGCCGGCACCAGCUUCCGGGCCUCCUCCCGUAGCUUCACCUUCUCGACCUUGCCCAGCGCGUUCCUCGGGAGGACGUCCCAGACCACCACCUUCUUGGGCACCAUGAAGCGCGCCAUGCGCUUGCGGCAGAAGGCCAUCACGUCGUCCUCGCAGACCCCGGCCGCCUUGUCCUUCGCCACCACGAACGCGCACGGCGUCUCGCCCCAGUGCGCGUGCGGCAUGGCCACCACCGCCGCGUCGGCCACGGCCGGGUGCCGGAACAGCGCCUCCUCCACCUCCUUGCUGCAGAUGUUCUCGCCGCCGGAGAUGAUCACGUCCUUGGACCUGUCCUUGAUCUCGAUGUACCCGUCCGGGUGCACCACGCCGACGUCGCCUGAACGCCUUCUCGUUCGCCUCCGGGUUGUUGAGGUACCCCUUCAUGAUGCUGCUGCCUCGGAG